UAGGGAAUAUUGGGCAAUGGGCGAGAGCCUGACCCAGCCAUGCCGCGUGCAGGAAGAAGGCGCUACGCGUUGUAAACUGCUUUUACCGGGGAAGAAACCCAGGGCUGCGGCCCUGCUUGACGGUACCCGGGGAAUAAGCACCGGCUAACUCCGUGCCAGCAGCCGCGGUAAUACGGAGGGUGCAAGCGUUGUCCGGAUUUAUUGGGUUUAAAGGGUGCGUAGGCGGCUUUUUAAGUCAGAGGUGAAAGACUGCAGCUCAACUGUGGCAGUGCCUUUGAUACUGAAGAGCUUGAGUACAUUUGAGGUAGGCGGAAUGCAGGGUGUAGCGGUGAAAUGCAUAGAUACCCUGCAGAACCCCGAUUGCGAAGGCAGCUUACUAAACUGUUACUGACGCUGAGGCACGAAAGCGUGGGGAUCAAACAG
This 423-nucleotide ribosomal RNA is filed under the name uncultured bacterium. Its description in RNAcentral is "bacterial SSU rRNA". It matches the Rfam family "Bacterial small subunit ribosomal RNA", at positions 355 to 775 of the family's 1533-position model. The record is from RNAcentral.